GACGAACGCUGGCGGCGUGCUUAACACAUGCAAGUCUAACGGAAAGGCCCUGCUUGCAGGGUACUCGAGUGGCGAACGGGUGAGUAACACUUGGGUGAUCUGCCCUGCACUUCGGGAUAAGCCUGGGAAACUGGGUCUAAUACCGGAUAGGAGCCAUUUUUAGUGUGAUGGUUGGAAAGUUUUUUCGGUUUAGGAUGAGCUCGCGGCCUAUCAGCUUGUUGGUGGGGUAAUGGCCUACCAAGGCGGCGACGGGUAGCCGGCCUGAGAGGGUGGACGGCCACAAUGGGGCUGAGAUACGACGCAGACUCCUACGGGAGGAAGCAGUGGGGGAGAUUGCAGAACGGGCGGAAGCCUGCUGCAGCGGCGCCGCGUGGGGGACGACGGACUUCGGGUUGGAAAAAACUUUCGCUAGGGACGAAGCUUUUUGUGACGGUACCUAGAUAAGAAGCGACGGCUAACUACGUG
RNAcentral lists this ribosomal RNA (465 nucleotides) under uncultured bacterium. Its description in RNAcentral is "partial 16S ribosomal RNA". It matches the Rfam family "Bacterial small subunit ribosomal RNA", at positions 28 to 507 of the family's 1533-position model. The record is from RNAcentral.